Molecule: long non-coding RNA, 9070 nt
Organism: Alligator mississippiensis (American alligator)
Lineage: Eukaryota; Metazoa; Chordata; Crocodylia; Alligatoridae
Exons: 2
Source: RefSeq, a predicted model, not a curated record
GCGGCGCUGGCCAGACCGAGGCUGCGGGCGGAGUCACGUGACCUAGGUGCCACGUGCGCCUGCUCCCUCGGGCGGGGUUGACCCCCCUCCCCUCCCCUCCCCCACACCCACACCCUCCAAGCCAUUGCCCCCAAGCCCUGAGGGCAGAGUGGGGGCAGGUGUCCCCUGUAGCCCUGAGGGCCAGAAGCGGAGGCGCUCAUCUCACUGCCUGGCCCUGCAGCAGGUGUCCCCAGGAAAACUGCCCCGCACAGGGGGGCUGAUGGUGCCAGAGGGGCCGAGGGGAUUUAGGUUUCAGCGACUGCAGCUGCAGCGUAGGGCCUCGCAAGACGAGGUGCCUGUAAACAAGGGAAAAAACAAACCCCUGGACGUCUUUGUUUUAAUAGGACCAAAAAAUAUAGAUGUCGACGGCUCCACAGUUAUUAUGCGUGUUUGUGCAGAAAUAACGAUUCGUCGUGAAGUGUCGUGGAAAUCCGUUUUCGUGGAUUAUUUUUAUCGUACGGGGCCUCUCGAGAUGGACGAAGCUUAGGGCCUCGGCGUGUCCUAAUCGGUGGGGGUCUCGCCAAGCCAGACCGCAGGGUUCAAGGGCCACGAUUAGGAAGACGAGAGACACCGGUGCUCGUAAGGGACCGAGUUCCUGAUGUCUUGGCUGAACGGCUCCCUAGGAAGAGCAUGGAUGCCCACCUGAUACGAGCCUUGUAUUGACCGAGAGCUCCAGAUCCUUAUACCAGGCAGAGCUGUCCCCUCAGGGACAGGCGUCCGGUGCCCAUUAAAACAGAGCGCACAGAGCCUGUCUACAUCCCCACGGAGCCGGGCUUUCCACCCGUAUCACAACAGAGAAGGACGCUCUAGGUUUCGACAGCACGCAGUACCCAGACCACCGGCAAGGCCCUACAUCACUGGGCCCGAUAGCACAGUGGUUCUCAAACACGUGUUUUUUGCAGACCACUUGAAAAUUGCUGAGGGUCUUGGUGGACCACUUAAUUUGUUUGUUCUACAAAUCAAAGCGCACAACUCAUACUUUAAUAUCAGUAGUCUUACCUUACAAGUACAGCUAGCCUUGAUUGUUCGGCAACCUUUCUGCAGACCACCUGAGUGGAGCUCACGGACCGCAGCUUGACAACCUCUGCUAUAGCAGCUUUAAAGACAUUUUCUCUCUUUCAGUGUUAAAUCAGUGUCAUAGCAUGCAAAGCAGAGAUGAAUGGUCUGUGCUGUUUAUAUGAAAAACGUGUGCAUGCACACAUAAGCACCCAUACACUUUUGUCCAACUUCCCCUACUGUAGCAUGAGAGGCAGUCACUAAAAUACAAGCAAAUAUGAAUGAGGUAGAUAGGAACUGAACAAAUAACUUUUCAAAAUCAGGUUUGACAUUGAUUGUGGUUUUCUGGCACGGAAACCUGACUAUUUAGGUUUUUAGAAGGUUGUCAGUAACUUGGCCCUAAAUACAGUCUAUACUCAAACAUAGCAAGGCUAAAUUUGAAUACAUUUAAGGAUAGCCUUGAAAGCUACAGGUCAGAAACUUUUGUGAUGAGAAAAUUUAUCUAACCCCUCUAUCGGUCCCAUUAAAGUCUGUGGAAAAGAUAAAACCAAGAAAAAUAGGGCAUGAAGAAAUAUUUAAAAUUAGUUCAGAGCCAGCCAGAGCAAAAUAUUCUGGACAAGAGAAAUCUGAUAAAUGGGGAGAGAAUAUAACCAAUGCUGGAGAGCAUUCCCUUUUUUGGUUCUGGGGUCUCAGUCAUCACAACAUUUUGGAUCUAGUAGUUGCCACACGCACAUUUUCACAAACGUGAAACUGGCACCCAGUGUCUUCAGUUCAUCUUUUGUUUUUCGUUGUCACGCAGUCUCACAGCAAGACACUCCUGCCAUGUUGCGCUAAAGAUUUUAACGGAUGGAAAACUUUGAUUCUAAUACUCCACUUUGUAUUCAGCAGAAGUUUUGUAUUGUGUUUUAAAGAUGUACAGAGGAAAAAGACUAUCACACUCUGAUAAAGUAGGGACUGGCAUGUGGGGACCAUUAUUUGUGGGGACAAUCACUAUGAUAAUGUGGAGAAACUGCAACAAAACAAAGCACCAUAAAUGACACCCUGAAAAGGAAAGGCAUAAUAAUAAACUCAUGCACUUUCAUUAGAAUCAGCAUAGCCAUAAAUUAGUGCUGCAGCAGAUUUUUGUAUUAAAAUGAAUUACCUCAGCAGCUUUUGGAUGACUACAGACUACAAUAUUAGAAGAUCAGUGAAAAGAAAUAUGACAGCUUCCACUGGUAAUGCCCCAGCAAGCUUGCUUAUUCAGCUGAGAACAUACAGCUUCUGGCCCUCAUAAAUAUGCCAGUAAGGCAGCUUAGAAAAAAGUCUCAUCUAAUGUGUUAUCUGAGAACAAGAGUGUGAUUAGAGGUUGGUGGCAGUGAGUGGGGGUGUAGGGAAGUUUAGUAGGGGGCACCGCGGCAUUUACAACACUUGAAGCGUUGAUGACACAAGCAGUCAGAAAUGAUGGAAACUGGAUACAAAGGGCAGCUGGGAACAGCUCGUGUCAACGGGAAGAAUAUUGGUGGCAACUGGCAACUCCUGUAGCAGCUGAAGAACAAACCAUGGCAGUUGGUGACCGAGUAGGAGGAACACGCAUGAUAUAUCUGAUAGCAUUUGGAGAGAAAGCUUUGGCAGCUGUUAACAGUGGAACCUGUGAGAUACCUCUGGCUGCACGGGACAGAGUUAGUGGGACAUUUAUGGUAACUGGUGGGAAACCUGUGAGAGGGGUAUCUGUGAAAGGUGGAAAGAAGCCUGUUGCAGUUUCAGCUAGAGGACGAAUGUGGCCACUGUUGCCGAUCUGUUGGAGGAACACCUGUGGUAGCCAAAGAGCAUGUCAGAGUAUGUCAGGUGGCAUUUCAUGGUAGGAGUGGAUGGGAAAGCUCUGGUGACAGUGGUAGCUGAACACAGGAGAUGAAUGGAUGAAUGGUGGCAAUUGGGGAGGGAAGUCUAUGGCAGCUGGUAAGUCAUUGAUGGUAGUUGGGGACAACUUCAGCAACUAGUGGCAAUUGGAAGGAUAUCUCCGGAGUUAUUAGUAUUUAAUAUUAAUGAAUAGGGCUUAGACAUUGGAGAAGGGGCAGAGAAGAAAAACCAUGACAGCUAGAGGGAAGAGAAAGGGUACAUCCAAACUGGUGAAUGCACAUGGCAGUAGCCUUAAUUUUCUCAAGGUUUCUGUGUAGGUGUUCUGUGCAGAGGACAUUCCAGUUUUCUGAUCCUCUGUCCUCUAUUGAUAUGAGACCUGAUGCCUUUAUGUCCUCUAUUUCUCUCUUCAAGAGAAAAAUUGGAAAAAAAUUCUCUUCAAGAGAAAAAUAGAGGACAUAAAGGUUUCUGGUUUCGUAUCAAUAGAGGACAGAGGACAACCGGACUGUCCUCUAUGAUGGCCACCCUAGAAGCAAGUAGAGAGAGAAGAAAAUUAAAGAGGGAGUUGAAGAGACAAUCAGAAGAAAAUAAAAAGAAAUGGAAUAAGGGAGAAAAAAGCAAGAACAUAUACCUACAUUUACAGUUGAUUAGCUUGGGAAAUGUACGUUCAGUUUAUAUUUCAUGGUGUCCCAUAAUCUAUGUAAAAGAGGGAUGAUCCUUUGGGAGAGGAGUAUUGCUUUGAAAUUCCAGGCCAGGGCAGCAGGUAGCCUUUUUUCUUUUUAUUCCUAAAUAAGUGGGGGAAAUGACAACACACAGUGCUCUGUCUUUUCUCUGUUUCAAUUUUGAGACUUUUAUUUUCAAAACCCUACAUAUCACCCCCACAAUUUAAAUUUAGUCAGCUCCAUUCUUGGAGUUAAAGGAAGAGUUUUAAGCUUAUGUGGUGUUGGCCUUCUGCACUCCUAUUGAAUGCCUUAUCUGUGUGGGUGGUGGUAUUGGCAUACACCUGCAUCACCCACAUGCAUUUAUCACCAAGUCAGGGUGUGUUACACUAGAUAAAAUACCACAUUUUACAAAAGAGAUUGCGGCAGACAACGGCAGACAAUUGAAGUGACUUGCACGAAGGUUCCCAAUCUCAGAGUUAUGACAAUAACUCAGGCAUUUCUAGCAGUUAUUUCUGUGUUCAAACCAUUAGAAAUAAUACUGGUAAUGUCAUUAGUGAAAAGCUCUGUGCGACAUAUUCGGACAACAUGCUGUAUAAUAUCACAUGGGUUUCCUGUCGCUAUGGAGCAUGCCAUAUUGGGGUAUACAUUUGAUCUAUAGAAAUAAAUAUAAAAAUACCAUUCCAAAAUUCCCUUGUAUUCUAAUAAGUCAGACACCAUACUUAUCACCAUGGUGUCUGAGUGUCUUUAAAGGAGAACAGAAUCACAGCAAUUUUUGUACAAACCCUAAACCAUGCUAAAAUAAUAUAAUCAAGACAUUAUAAGAUUAAAUACAGCUAACUAAUAUUAAUACAUGCGUGCAUGUGCGCAUACACACAAUUAAAUAAGAAGACAUGGUAAAUAAACUACCUAACGGAGUGCAUGAAAACAGUUAAGUUUGACAAACAGACAAACAACCCCUCCAAAUAUGUGCAUUAUUUUAUUUGGACAAUAGAUCCGUAAGCAGAGCUUAUGUAAUGUGCCAGCAGUUUUUUCAGUGCACAAUUGGUCCCAGAAGCUGCUGAUUUUGCUAAGCUUUCUGAGUGUCUGCCCUCCUCACUGUCCACCUUUAAUUUUUAUUUUUUUUGCAGAAACAAGAUAAAUCAAAUGUCAGGUUCAUGAUAGCAGGAACAAACAUGAGAUCCAUGCUAAGAGUCCAGUUCUCCACUUCUCUGAAGUUGUCUGGAAUCCCUUUAUCCCAGCAAAGGAAUAUAUAUUUGACCAAAAAAAGUAAAAAAAAAACUUCUUGAAUUUAUAUAACACCUUUCAUCAGAGAAUCUCAAAGUGCCUUUAAAAAUUAAUCAAUGCAUCCUCACACCAUCACUCAAAGGUGCUUAUUUUAUAUAGCAGGAAAAUUACAUGCUCAACAUCAAAGACCAAGCCAGCAGAAAGACUAAGAAUACAACCUAGGGAGUCCUGACUCAGUCCUCAGUUUGAAACUGUGAACGACAGCUAUUGCAGAAGGGUGCAGUAUUACUGAGAAGCAUGAUCAUCUUUUAUGCUGAGGCUGUUCUGAAUCAGGUGGGUCAGGCCUGACUGAGCUAUUUUAGAUAUCUGAUGGCUAUUUUUCAUAGUUCAGGAGCUGAAGGUAAUUUUAAAAGAUCCUUUUUCAAGAAGAUGGAAUGUUUUGGCUAUAAAAGACCAAGUCAGCUGAACCUCAGUUGAGCAGCAACAUAAGCUGAAGAAUGAUGACCCAAGGCCCAGAGCCACAAAACUAUUUAGGCAUCUAACUCAGACUCUUAGUUAAAUCAAUAGGAGGAUCUGGGCCCAAGUCUAGAUGCAAUUAGGGUAGAUAUGGCUACCUUCUAAAGGACAGUAGGAUGUUGAGCCUACACCUGAAUCACCUAAGUUGAAGUUAGGAAACAUAAUAAUUAUUGUGCGUUGUGCUGCAUGAUUUGCUUUACUACCCCAAAUUUGCUUUGCCUGAAAUAGAUUGAUGUGACAGGGCUUCUCUGAAGCAAGCAGCUUGACUCUCAGUACAUUUACGCUCCGUUCACACAUGCAUUGAUUUAAGAGAAGUUAGGAUGGGGCCAGGAGUUCAUGAAGUUCUCACCAAAAGAAAGUGAGGAAGAAGACAAGAGUAAAAGAGUUAUUGAUCUGGCUAUCACCUUCGUAGAUAUGGGGCCCCAGGUUGAAUGCUGAAAGGAGGUUGAAAGACAAGAAAGCAAAGAAGGUCAGAAGUUUAUCUCUGCAGAAGGUUAGUCUGUAAAUAAAAUUCUGGGAUUGAAGUCUGGGAUGACAAGAAUCCAUAUAUUCAGCUGCGUGCUAUUUUGUCAGUAGUUUUGCUCCUUCUUUAAGGUGGUUGAACUACGUAGCAGUAGUGAUAAUGAGUCCUCUAAAACCAUUUCCCUGUGGACAAGUGUCUGGAUUAUAAAUCCACCAUGACACUUGAUGCUAAUUAGUGACUCUGUCAAUAAUCUCAGGAGAGAGGCUAAAGGAUUAAUGAGAAUGGAGAUUUGAGAAUCCUCUCCUUUUGAGUUGUUCUUCCAAAACAAAAUAAAAAAACAUAUGGGUGUGCACAUAUUGUUCUUUUCAUAAUAUAUUAAUCUUCAUUGGAACUUCAGUAUUCUGUGUAAAGAGUUUCUUUCAAGAGCAAGUAGACAGAUACUUGGCUGGGAUGAUUUAGUCCUAUGAUCCUACCUCAGACCACAUUUUUGAGCAAGAUCAGGCACAGCUGAGUUGAAGACUAACCGUCACCAAAACAAUGAACUAAGGGAUGAACUCAGAACAUGUACCCAUUCCUCCUCUUAAAACACAGCAGGUAAUGUCAUAAUAAAGCUAGAAGGAAAAGAAAGUACUUUGUUAAAUGUUUCAGUACUUGAUUAGCCAUAAUUCCCUACAGCGGGCUUAAAGCUUGAGUCACCAGCUUUGUAAAUCACUAGCAGAUUCUGCUUCUUUUGGUUCAGCUGGGGAGCGUAUCAUCUUACCUGGAACUAGAUGGCAUGAUCAGUCUCUUGAUGCACAACAUCUGUUGCAAGUUCUAUAGCUUGAGUUGUUCUUGGAUUUGUUGUAACAGGGUUGUUUCAAAACCACCUUCAAGGAUGUGAAUAUUGGCUCGUUCUUUAGCUGCUAAGGUGUUUGCUUUCUUUCAAGGUUUUGUCUUUGGCUUAUUAGGAUAAUGUAGCUGAUCUCUAAAUAGAUCUUUGGUUUAAUUUGUUUUUUCUGUUAAAGGAUACUGGGAGUAGCAAUAGCUCCUUAAUAUUAUAGCAACCAUGGGAUUUUAGGGUUAUCUCAGAGGGUAGGUUGAUUACUGUCAAAGAUGUUCUUUUUUUUAAAUUUUUUUAUUUCCUACCUUUUUAGAAGUUAAAUUACCAGAGAUAACAUCUAGUGAGAAUUAUGUUUUUCCCCUGUUCUUCCAACCACUCAGUUUUGAUUAUUUCUUUUUAACAGAGUAAUAUUAUUUUACAUGUGCAUUUGCAAGUUGUGACCUUUAUUACUUCAAAUUUCUGCACUGUUGCACUCAAUACCUCUCACUUUACUGUUAUACAGUGGCUGGACAAUAGUCUUAGUGGUUAGUGACCAUUAAUAAAAUGCAGUCUUAUCCUGAAAAAUAGGUCUAAAAUAGCAUGAGAUUUAGUAUUAAUAUUUUCUUACCAACUUCCAUAUCAAGCUUGCUCAUCUUACAAGUAAGAUGAUGUUUGUGUUUUUUCCUAACAAACAACUCCCACAAAUUCACCAAGAUUCUCUCUCUUCAUCAUCAGUAAUUACUGUGCCCACAAUGACAUCUCUGCCAACCUACUAACAACUAAUUGGGAUGCACAGUUGUCAUUGAGGCAUCAUAAGUAAACAAUGAGGUUUCUCAGGUGUAGCUGAGAGCAGAAAUUGGCCUCAAGAAUCUUAAUUAUCGGUGGUGAUGAUGAGUUGGAAAAGACCUCAUUCACCAUAAGAUGGUGAAUUGGGAAAAAGGCCAGAUCUAAAGAAGAGAGACUUGGGUGUCUUGGUCUAAAAUUGCAGUCCAAAAAAACCUUGCUCAGUAAUCGCAUCUCCCUGGAAGUGCCUAAACCUCUCGUUUGGCUGGAAAGAUCCCUAUGUGUCUGUCAUUCUGCCUCCUGUGCAUGCCCAGAACUGUCCUGCCCUGGGGAGCUAUCUAGCUCCUACCUCAGCUACAACAGGACCCAGGAGCUAGGUGGAGUGGUGCUUAAGUAUCUUAUGCUGAGACCAAACCUAAUGCACAGCGAUUAGGCCUCUUAUAAAAUGCAGUUUUGGCUGCUUUCUUUUUAACUAUAGCAGCAGGAGGCAGUAGUGCUGGUGUUCUUCUUCUACAUAUUAGCCUAGUAGUAGCUAGAGCCGUCACCCAGGAAGUGAGCGAUCCCAGUCCAAUUUCUUCACGCGUCUGGGAGACUGAUACCUCCCAGGAGAGUGCCCUAACCUGUCCGGCUGGGUUGGGGCUCUCUCAACAUCUGUUACAGCUGGGGCAUGGGGCAGAUAGGAAUGCAAGACACAUGGGACCAGAAAGACAGCAAGCAAAAAGAGUCUUAGUAGCAUAGCAGUCACUGUCUUUUGAAAACCAAAUAGUGAGCUCUGUUCUGUUGGUUUGAAAGAACAACUGUAAACAUGCUCAGAAGUGGGUUUUGAAUCCUGAGUGGGUGGAAGAACCUGACUCAGGCCCCUACACUCCAGAUGGGGGUGGGAAUUCAGAAACACCUCUGUGCAUUUUGUUUCCUAUUUGCUAGCUCUGGGCCAUACCCAGCUCAGCAUGAACAUUUUCUGAAUUGCCUUUCUUAGAUGCCUAUCUUCUGUAGCAUGGGUUUGUUAUUUCACUCAGAGAGCCAUCACUGCCUCACCAACAUCGUAGGUGCCCGGUCUUUUAGUAGAGUCAGCACAAACGCUCUCAUUCUCUGCCACCUGAAAGAAAUCUGAUGGUGUAACUUGCAAUGAAUUGGAAUCUCACCAGGACAUGGCACGGAGCAACUUUUCAGGCUCAGCCAUGCUGUAAUAAGAGCAUAGUAUUUCCUGUUGAUCAUCACAGGGCAAGGGUUACAUUGAUUUUGCUGUCUCAUCAAAGUAGGUGACACAUCACUCCACCCAAUUAUAAAGGAGAUGGGUGUGGCUCUCUUAGAAGUCAGUCCUUUUAAUGUGGGUGAAGAAAUCUUGCAAUGAAAUGUCUAGGAGCAGCCAAGUUUGAGGGGGGUUGAGCUGAACUUUGUAAUGGUAUUGUUUUUAAUAUAGCCAAGCCUAAGGAAAAGCAGGCCAGUGACAUUGCUUUUGUGCCGCCAUGGAAGAUCCUGAAGAGCUGAUGAAACUGUUUGGCAUUGUACGCACGCCAAACGUUGACAAACGCUUGGGAUCAAUAUAUUCCACUUAAAAUGUUCCUGUCAGAAUCAUCCUUCUGUGUCUUCAGGUACAAGGCUACGACCAUGGCGUAUUGAACAAUAAGAUCUUGGGGGCAGAGAUUCUUGUAUUCUGUGCUUGUGCGAAGCCUGCACAAUAAGGCCCUCUCCCAUCUGGGGCCUCUAGGUGCUACUGUAAUACAAAUAAUAAAAUGAAUAUCUGAUUUCUCAGAA